Long non-coding RNA from Phyllostomus hastatus (greater spear-nosed bat), 852 nucleotides. RefSeq lists it as uncharacterized. The record is from RefSeq and is a predicted model, not a curated record. NCBI's taxonomy places the organism in Eukaryota, Metazoa, Chordata, Mammalia, Chiroptera, Phyllostomidae. The transcript has 4 exons.
ACAGGCGCCUACACGGGGAGCACAGCCCUGGCCAGCGCGGCUCUGCUGGUUGGAGCAUCGUCCCACAGCCAGAAGGUUGCAGGUUCGAUUCCCGGUCCAGGGGCACAGAGGAGGCAACCAGUCAACGCUUUUCUCUCACAUCGAUGUUUCCCUCUCUCCCUCUCCCCGCCCCCCGUUUCCUACGGCAACGAAGAAAAGGUCCUCAGGUCAGAAGGGCGCGGUUUCACCGAAGCCCGGCCUGUGAAUCGAGCGCGGGGCCGGUGCUGCGCCGAGAACGCCAUCCUCGCGCCCAGGGCUGCCCCGGACCCCUCCCCGCCUGUCUGUCUGCGAGGAGUCGGCGUCUCACAGCUUCCGUUUAGUUCUGUGACCCGCUCUGAGUCAACGUCUACGAAGGCCUGCACUCAGUCCACUGAGCCACCCCAGCCAGGGCUGAAGAUUCUUCUCCUUGCGUGUCCGGUUGUCCCAGCGCCGUUUAUUAAGAAACUGCCUGACUAUGUCGUACUGUCUUUCUUUACUCCUUGAUCCAAGCAGCAUCCUUGGUGUUCACCCACGAGACGCCAGCGCCUCAGGCCGCCCUAGUUGUGACGAUCAGAAACGUGCCCCAGCGCUGCCGCGGGCUGGUGAGCGGGCAGGCUGCCCUCCUGGAAACCGCCGCUGGGCGGCGCUGCAGCGCGCAGUGUUCCGGGCCCGCCUGCGGCCGAGGAUGGUCGGGCGGUUCGUCGGGCGGUUCCCAGUGCGGGCGGGGCUCUUGCCAACGCGGCUGCCGUGGACAUCCCCGAGUGUGUCUUCAGUGAGCACAUGUUUGCAUUGUCCUCUUUUUAAGUACAUUUUAUUGAUGACGCUAUUACAGUU